AGAGUUUGAUCCUGGCUCAGGAUGAACGCUAGCGACAGGCUUAACACAUGCAAGUCGAGGGGCAGCGGGGGUGCAGGCUUGCCUGCACCUGCCGGCGACCGGCGCACGGGUGAGUAACACGUAUGGAACCUGCCCGCCACAGGGGGAUAACCCGGGGAAACCCGGCCUAAUACCCCAUGCCGCCCGGACCGGGCAUCCGGACCGGGCGAAAGGAGGAAUCCGGUGGCGGCUGGGCAUGCGGCGCAUUAGCUUGACGGCGGGGUAACGGCCCACCGUGGCGACGAUGCGUAGGGGUUCUGAGAGGAAGGCCCCCCACACUGGAACUGAGACACGGUCCAGACUCCUACGGGAGGCAGCAGUGAGGAAUAUUGGUCAAUGGGCGGAAGCCUGAACCAGCCAAGUCGCGUGAGGGAAUAAGGCCCUACGGGUCGUAAACCUCUUUUGCCGGGGAGCAAGGGCGGGGACGAGUCCCGGCCCGGAGAGUACCCGGAGAAAAAGCAUCGGCUAACUCCGUGCCAGCAGCCGCGGU
RNAcentral lists this ribosomal RNA (529 nucleotides) under uncultured bacterium. Its description in RNAcentral is "bacterial SSU rRNA". It matches the Rfam family "Bacterial small subunit ribosomal RNA", at positions 8 to 521 of the family's 1533-position model. The record is from RNAcentral.